GCCGAAGUGGUGGAAUUGGUAGACACGCCGUCUUGAGGGGGCGGUGGCGCAAGCCGUGUCGGUUCGAGUCCGACCUUCGGCACCA
This 85-nucleotide transfer RNA is filed under the name Legionella micdadei. RNAcentral describes it as "tRNA-Leu (GAG) (tRNA-Leu-GAG-1-1)". It matches the Rfam family "tRNA". Rfam says of the family: Transfer RNA (tRNA) molecules are approximately 80 nucleotides in length. Their secondary structure includes four short double-helical elements and three loops (D, anti-codon, and T loops). Lineage: Bacteria; Pseudomonadati; Pseudomonadota; Gammaproteobacteria; Legionellales; Legionellaceae. RNAcentral also lists the same sequence under 1 other name. The record is from RNAcentral.